RNAcentral lists this ribosomal RNA (394 nucleotides) under Staphylococcus aureus. RNAcentral's name for it is "bacterial SSU rRNA". It matches the Rfam family "Bacterial small subunit ribosomal RNA", at positions 1 to 383 of the family's 1533-position model. Lineage: Bacteria; Bacillati; Bacillota; Bacilli; Caryophanales; Staphylococcaceae. The record is from RNAcentral.
UUUUAUGGAGAGUUUGAUCCUGGCUCAGGAUGAACGCUGGCGGCGUGCCUAAUACAUGCAAGUCGAGCGAACGGACGAGAAGCUUGCUUCUCUGAUGUUAGCGGCGGACGGGUGAGUAACACGUGGAUAACCUACCUAUAAGACUGGGAUAACUUCGGGAAACCGGAGCUAAUACCGGAUAAUAUUUUGAACCGCAUGGUUCAAAAGUGAAAGACGGUCUUGCUGUCACUUAUAGAUGGAUCCGCGCUGCAUUAGCUAGUUGGUAAGGUAACGGCUUACCAAGGCAACGRUGCAUAGCCGACCUGAGAGGGUGAUCGGCCACACUGGAACUGAGACACGGUCCAGACUCCUACGGGAGGCAGCAGUAGGGAAUCUUCCGCAAUGGGCGAAAGCC